ACUCCUACGGGAGGCAGCAGUGGGGAAUAUUGCACAAUGGGGGAAACCCUGAUGCAGCCAUGCCGCGUGUGUGAAGAAGGCCUUCGGGUUGUAAAGCACUUUCAGUGGGGAGGAAAGGUUGUUGGUUAAUACCUAACAGCUGUGACGUUACCCACAGAAGAAGCACCGGCUAACUCCGUGCCAGCAGCCGCGGUAAUACGGAGGGUGCAAGCGUUAAUCGGAAUUACUGGGCGUAAAGCGUGCGCAGGCGGUCUGUCAAGCGAGAUGUGAAAGCCCCGGGCUCAACCUGGGAACUGCAUUUCGAACUGGCAGACUAGAGUCUUGUAGAGGGGGUAGAAUUCCAGGUNUAGCGGUGAAAUGCGUAGAGAUCUGGNGGAAUACCGGUGGCGAAGGCGGCCCCUGG
Molecule: ribosomal RNA, 403 nt
Filed under: uncultured bacterium
Lineage: Bacteria
Description: bacterial SSU rRNA
Rfam family: Bacterial small subunit ribosomal RNA
Source: RNAcentral